AUGUCAGGUGUAAGUCGUCCUAAAGUGAUCGUCCUGCCGCCGUCCAGUGAAGAGAUUUCCAGCAAGAAGACAGCAACAGUGAUGUGUGUGGCCAGCAAUGGUUUCCCUUCAGACUGGAGUCUGAGCUGGAAAGUGAAUGGGAAGAUGUCAGGAUCUCAGGAGAACAGAGCUGGAGUCCUACAGAAAGACGGCGGUCUGUACAGCUGGAGCAGCAGUCUGACUCUCACUGAACAAGAAUGGAUCAACAGAGACUCAGUGAUCUGUGAGAUCAGUCGGGAAGGUCAGACAGUCACUGGAGAAGUGAAGAAAGAUCUGUGUUCUGAGUAGAUCCUCUCUUCUUCUCAUCUCUUCU
Misgurnus anguillicaudatus (oriental weatherfish) is the source of this 352-nucleotide non-coding RNA. The record is from the annotation of a RefSeq genome assembly. NCBI's taxonomy places the organism in Eukaryota, Metazoa, Chordata, Actinopteri, Cypriniformes, Cobitidae.